Molecule: ribosomal RNA, 466 nt
Filed under: uncultured bacterium
Lineage: Bacteria
Description: partial 16S ribosomal RNA
Rfam family: Bacterial small subunit ribosomal RNA
Source: RNAcentral
GAUGAACGCUGGCGGCGUGCCUAAUACAUGCCAGUCGAACGAUGAAGCCCAGCUUGCUGGGUGGAGUAGUUGCGAACGGGUGAGUAACACGCGAGUAACUUGCCUUUAACUCUGGGUUAAGCCAGGGAAACUGGCUCUAAUACCGGCCAGGUGCGUUAACCGCCUGCAUGGUGCUGGAAUGAUUUAGCGGUUUUCGAUGGACUAGAGGCCUAUCAGCUUGUUGGUAAGGUAUUGGUUAACUAAGGCGGCGACGGGUAGACGACCCGAGAAGGGGACCGGCCACAAUGCGCCUGAGGGACGGCGCAGACGCCAACGGGAGGCAGCAGUGGAGAGUAUUGCACAAUAGGGGAAAGCCUGAUACAGCGGCGCCGGGUGAGGAAAGACGGCCUUCUGGGGAAGAACCUCUGUGAAUAUAGAAAAAGCGAAAGUGACGGUACCUGCAGAAGAAGCACCGGCUAACUACGUG